ACUUGCUAUAGGAAAGUGGGGGGGGGGGGGGGUCUGCAGGGUGUCACCUCUGUUCUUUUGCCCCUCCCUAGUAUAUCUUUCAGGCUAUGACAUCCUACCCCUAGCCCCCAUCAUUUCCCCACUUCAAACAUUCCAACACUCUGCCUGGCUAAAAGCGCUCUACAACCCAGCUAAGGAGCGCAAUUCAAACUUCACACAGUUGAGACAGCACAGAAAACCAGUAACUGAUCAGAAGCUAAAAAUAAUCAGAUAGAGAGUAACCAGCACUCCCUCUCUCCUUUCCACAGCAGCAACCACAGGAUCCUACUAACACAGAUGACCGACUGGUCUCCAAAAUGCAAUCCUCCAAAACACCUAACUCCUCCUACCCCCCACUCCAGGGGUCCCAGACACCUGCAUUCCUCCAUGGACCCGCACAAGGUCAGGUGGUCCAGCAUGCCUGGGCCAGUCCCAUGGAUGGACAUCCCACCAUAAUAUGAAGUGAGAAUUCUGCUAUAUAUAUCAAGAACCAAGACUCCUCUCCUCCUCACUGCUACUCCUGUUCACUCAACAGAUGUUGCCAGAGCACCUAGUAAGGCAGCAAGCUGGGCGCCACAGGGAGUGCAAGGACCACAGGUGCCUCCCUUUAAAAAGCAUAAACAACUAUGGGACAAGAUAGAAUGUCUGGUGUCAAGGGAACACAGCUGAGUGCUAUUUCCCAAUUUCCUGUUAAAGAAAAUAAAAGAGAUCCUAACUGGUCUUAGGAGAGAUCAGAUCCCA
This is a long non-coding RNA of Mustela lutreola (European mink), 759 nucleotides long. RefSeq lists it as uncharacterized. The transcript is spliced from 2 exons. Lineage: Eukaryota; Metazoa; Chordata; Mammalia; Carnivora; Mustelidae. The record is from RefSeq and is a predicted model, not a curated record.